This 403-nucleotide ribosomal RNA is filed under the name Bacteroidota bacterium. RNAcentral describes it as "Bacteroidetes bacterium partial 16S ribosomal RNA". It matches the Rfam family "Bacterial small subunit ribosomal RNA", at positions 355 to 776 of the family's 1533-position model. The record is from RNAcentral. Lineage: Bacteria; Pseudomonadati; Bacteroidota.
UGGGGAAUUUUGCACAAUGGGGGAAACCCUGAUGCAGCGACGCCGCGUGAUUUAGAAGGCCUUCGGGUUGUAAAAAUCUUUUCUAUGGGAAGAAAAUGACAGUACCAUAGGAAUAAGGACCGGCUAAUUACGUGCCAGCAGCCGCGGUAAUACGUAGGUGGCAAGCGUUGUCCGGAUUUAUUGGGCGUAAAGCGAGCGCAGGCGGUCAAUUAAGUCUGAUGUGAAAGCCCCCGGCUCAACCGGGGAGGGUCAUUGGAAACUGGUUGACUUGAGUGCAGAAGAGGAGAGUGGAAUUCCAUGUGUAGCGGUGAAAUGCGUAGAUAUAUGGAGGAACACCAGUGGCGAAGGCGACUCUCUGGUCUGUAACUGACGCUGAGGCUAGAAAGCGUGGGUAGCAAACAGG